UGAUCUUUCAUUUCCCCACUCCAAUAUUCACCCACAUCUUUUCUUGCAUUGAUAGUGCCUGAAAACUGCAAAAUAAAAUUAGAAAAACGGAUUACUCCCAUCAAUUAAGAUAAACCAAACUUAUUUUCAUUAAUGGUGUUUAUGUAUACGUGUUCCUCUAUAUAUAUAUAUAUAUAUACACACACACGUAUCCCUUUAUUUACUCGCUACUGACACAAACUUUUACUUACCAAGAUAAGUGAGAAAAUAGAAAGGAAAGCAAAGAAGAAUUUCAUGUUUUAUGGUAAGAGAAGAAAUUAAAUGAUGGAUAGUGUUGUCCAAUAUCCUCACUAUUUAUAGCUAAAAUCAAAGAAAGCAUAAUUAUAAAUAAUUUACAUAUAAUACAUCUUGUUAUAAUAUGACAAAACAUAAUAUACAUAUACGGUAUGGGCCGAUGAAUAAAUUUAUCUUUUGUCCAUUAAUUAUUCCCUAAAACUUUAUUAAAAUUUCAUUCUAAUUACUAUUUAAUCUUUAUAUUAUAAUCAAUUCAUUUGACGUUACUUAUAUUAUAUGUUCAUUAGAUUGAAUAACCAUUCCCUUAAAAAUUUAGUUUUGAAGUCCUUUGUAUUGAUAGAAUUCUGGGAUGAAAUUUAAAGAUUUCAUAAACUUAUUAAAUUUAUUUGUUUGUUUUAUAAAAAAUUAUAUUACGGUGUGUAAAAUCGAUAAAUUUUAUUACUUUUUUCUAUAAUCAAAUUUAAAUCACUUAAUUUUAUUUUAAAAAAUAUGCUUUAAAUCUAUAAAUCAUGUUUUCCAACUAAAUGAUGAAAUGUAAAAUUCUAUUAAUUUCACAAUACACGUUUAUACAUUCCACGUUGUGAAAUUAAUAUAGAUAUUAUGUUCUAUUAUUCUAAAUGAUCAAUUUUUGGCCAGUGAUCUUAGGUUUAUUAAUAAAAAAAAAUUAAAAUCAAUUAGAUAUGAUUUGAUUGAUCUUUUCAGUUUUUAUAAGAACAUAGGUGAUCCUCUCAAUUAUAAGAUUUCUUAUUAUUUUAGUGAAUUAUGAAAGUUCUAACCUACAUAUUGGGCCUCUCGAAGGAAAAAAAAAAAAAAAAUCAAUAUUGUAUAAUUUUGGAGAAAAAAAAGAUACCCUUCUAUCUUGAACCGACAACCUUUUAAUUAGUAGUUAUCUUUUUCUGUCAUCUAUUUGUCAUUUGCUUUUUGUAUUGAGAAUAACAAUGAUUUUCUUAUUAAUCCAUUCAUAUUUUAUUAUGAAUUUCUGGUUUAAAUAAAUUUCAUAUAGGCUUCGAAAUAUAAAAUGAAUUAAAUUAACAAUCAGACAUGUUUUGAAAUGAUAGACGUGGUCUCUCUCUAAUUUUAUUUUUUUAGUUUUGUUUUUUUUGUUUGUUUUUUUGUUUUUCUUAAAAUUCUCAAAUAUGUGUCUAUUUAAUACAAAUCAGAUAUAUUUAUUUAAAGAAAUUUUGGACAUAUACAUUCUCGGAUUUAUUUGUUUUUAUGAGAUUUUUUGUUUUAUUUAUUUAUUUAUUUUUAAGAUUAUUGUCACAACUUUCAUGGUGACGGAGGAUUGUCAAAUCAAACCUAUUAAAAGACUAUAGAAUUCAAUAAUAGUUGUAAAUCGCUAUCAAGUGGAGUGUUUAUCGACGGAUGACAUAAGUCUAUUGCUCUUUCAUCUUGAAUAAAUCUCUCAAAUCAAGUUGAAGUUUUUUUUUUUUUUUUUUUUUUUUUUUUUUAUUAUUUGUACAAGUAGUUUAUAGUUAGGCUCCCUACAGUGAUUUCAUAUUUGUAUGUUUCAUUUUAAUGAUUUUUUUUUUCUAAAAGAAAAAAUAGCAUAGCUCCCUUCCCGUUGCUACCAAAUAAAAUAUAGCAAAAUCAUUUAUUUAAUAAUAAAAAAUAUUAACGAUAGUACCCCUUCCAUUUUAUCAAAAAAAUAAAAAUCUUAGCUGGACAUAAUAAUACAUAAAUAAAUAUAAUGUUAGGUUGGAUAUGAUGAGUCGAUUCCACUUCAAACAUGUACAACGUUUUGCCCAUCGAAAUCAUGUAAAAGAUAAUUGUCAUUUGCUUCAUUAAUUGUUUGGUAGCAUGCAAAAAAUCAUAUCUUGCUUUGCUCUUAUUAUUAUUUUAUACUCUCAUUAUUAGCUUUCAUUUUCAUCUUUUAUUAUUUUAUUUUAUUUAGUAGCUUCAAGAAAACUAUUUUACUUAUUAUUAUUUUUUUAUUUUAAAAAUCAAUGUUUUUUUCGGAACCUAAGAGAUCAUGAUUUAGAUCCCAAUUAACUAAAUGUUAAUUAGUGUAUCAUCCGAAGAAAGUAAUAUCAUAUUACUCUUUUGAUGUCUCUAUGGAUUAAAUAUUUGAAGAACAUACUUCAAUUUUUUUUUUUUUUUAAUUCUAUUCUUAAUCUCACAAUGAUAACAACUUUUUAUCCUUUUCUGUUUGGGCUGAUUUUUGCUCUAUUCUUAUUCAUAAAUUAAAUUUCGUUACAUAAAUUAUAUUUGAGCCUGUAAAUUAUUUUUUACCAAAGACUUGAAUUAAUUCAAAAUGCAUGCCCCUUAUUUUUCUAUUCAAUAUUGACUAUUCAAUAUUGUCAUUUUAGAAAGUAUUCAAGAAAAACCUUCCUCGCUCCAUUCCAAAAAAAUAAUCCAUCUUUUCAUUUUGGUUUGUUUCAAAAUAUAAUUCUUUUAUUUUUUAUACAUUGUAGUUAAUCUUUAAAUUAUGGAUUAUGCCUUUAUUAAAUUUUUUCUUUUUUUUUAAUAAUUUUCAUUAAUUCUUUCCUUUUUUUUUUUUUCAAAUCAAUCUUACUUUAAAUUCAUUUGUUAUUUAAUAAAUAAUUUUAUUCUUCUAUCUUCUUGAAAUUUAAAAAGUUGUGAACAUUGGUCACUCUCAUUAAUUGCAAUUUAUAUUUUUCAUUUUAUAGAUCAAUGUAGUUUUUAUUAUUUCAAUAUAAUAAUUGCUCAUGUGUUAUUUAAGAUGAAUAUAAUAGGUCACUGUUAAUAACAAAAUUGUUCACUAAUCAUAAUAACUUAUAUUUAUUAAUCUAAGUGAAAAAAGAAAAUUAGAAAAGAAAGUUGGCUAUCUUUUUGAGACAGAGAGGGUAUAUAUCUAUAUGUAUUAUAUAAUCCGAUCGAUAUACCUAUCAAAACUGAAUUCCUCCCUGAAUAUUUUAAAAAUGUACAUUACAUAUUUAAGAAUUAUCUUCAUUAUUCAUCAAACUUAAUUUUAAAAUUAUAGCAAACAAAUACAUAAAGAGUACACAUUUAUUGGCAACAAUCCAAAAAAGUUACACACAAACCACAAACCUAAUUAUUAAAGACCUUACAUUACAAGAACAACAUACAACUUUAUUAUUGAUCACCAUAGGCAAGCAAAGGGACAUAAACAAGAUUAUCUCCUUUAAAGAAAUGACAAACAGGAAUAGUUCCAGGUUUAAUUCCAAGCACACGAAACGAUGCAUGAUUAUGACUCCAUUGAGAAGUAUCCAUAUGACAAACAGCAACAGCUUCUACUCUUCCUCCAUUUUCACCUUUCAGUGAAAGCACAAACACUUUAUUCUCAGUCUGUUGGCUAUGGCAAUAGAACACCGUAUAUGCAUACGGCAUCGUAUGGCAAGCCACCAUCUUUGGAACGGGUAUCUCCUUAGGUUCUUGCAUUAUUGUAUAAUUAUCUAAAUGGGUCUUUGAUUUUAUAAGAUGUGUGGUUGUUAAAAUCUUGAAUUUUGUCUCUAAUCCAAAAGUUUCGCGUACAAAAUCAACCAUCGACUCUAAAGAAGUAGCACAAAUUUUUGUUUCUCCUUUGAUGGGUUUAAGUUCACAUUCUUUUAGAGUAUUUUCCAUGGCUAUGGCUUGAGGAGAGUUUGGAGAGAUGGAAAAUAAUUUAAGGAGGUAAGGAAAGUCUUUGUAUGAAAAAGGAAUGGAAUCUGCUUCUGCUUUAUGUAACAUAGGUGGAGUAGAUGAAGAAUCUUUCAUAGGAAAAUAAAUCGGCAUUUUCUUGCCUAUUUUGAGAUCAUCUAAAGUGAAAAAGAUCAUCAUUGAUGGAUCCAAGUGAUCCAUAUGAGAUGAUGAUGGACUUGCCUGUGCAUGAUCACUCGGAAGUCUCAAAACAUUGUUGCUCUUAGUUAUCAUCUCUCUUGCUCCCUCACUUCCAUGAGAACUCUGCAAAUUAUUUUAAUGAGCUAUUAAUGUAUUAUAAAUGGAAGUAAUGAAUUAAUUAUGCAGUGAAGCGUUUAAAUAGAUUUAAUUACCAGAACUAGAAGAAGAUGAAGGAGGAAGAUCUUGAUUGGAAAAUGUAUGCCCAUGGUUCUUUGAUCCUUUUUGCUCAGUGUAUUAUCUGUUCAAAUUUAGUGCUUCUUCUUCUACUUGAAAGAGAGAAACUUGAGAAAGGUCGACUAGAUCUUUUUCUCUCUCAUACAUUAUUUAUUUAUAAUUGAGAAACUUCUCAAUCAUAUUUUAUUAACGGCGGUGAUAAUUUCGUUUUUUUAUAAAAAAGUUAUUUCUAAAUUUCCAUAUAUAUAACCUUAAGUUUUUCUUGAAUUUCUAAAUAUAUUAGAUUUUGUUAUAUGUUAUUGAUAUUUUUCAAAAUUUUAAAGACAAAUCUUAUAAAGAGCAAGGAAUAAAUGUGAGAGUUCCACAAAACAGUUAUUACAUUUCUUUUUAUUCUAUUCUGCAAAUCAAAUAAGGCUUUAAGAUAGUUGAUACUGAGUUUGUGCUUUGUUCUUAUUCCAUCCAUUUGGAUUUUGUACACUCAAACAUAAUGUUUCUUUUUUCUUUUUUUAAAUUUCUCAUAUGUUAUGUAUAUAUUUAAAGAAAAAAAAAGGUAUAAUACUGACAAAUUGGUUUAGCUCUAAAGUAAUGUAAAUUCUCAAUAAUUAAGUUUUUCAUUUUUUUAAAAUUAUGGGUAUCUCUAUUUCAUUAAUUAAUGUUAUAGUGACAUGUAAACUGAAAUUUAAUUAUCUAAUUCUCACUGUAUAUAAAAUGUGAGAAACGAUUAACCAAUGAUAAAUAUAUAGUUAAUAAUACAAUGAUAGAUUAAUUAAUAUUGACAUAGUACAUAUACAAAUAGUAUUUUAUUAAUGAAAAAUGUAUAAAAAAUAGACAGAAAUAUAUAACAGUGUAACAUACGCAAAAAACAUAGAGAUAAAAAAAUUAUGUAUUUCUGAAAAUACAUGGAGCAAAUUUGUAUUUUAUGGCAUAAAAGCAUAAAUUUCCCAACAAUGUAUGUAUAAUACUCUUAUAUGUGUUUUUUUUUUUGCAAGUAGGCAAAAGGCCAAAGUUAAUAAUUAGACUCUUUUGUCAUUGUACAACUAAUGGAUUUUGGUAUCAGGCCCAUCAUCAGGUUUUUUUUUUUUUUUUUUUUUUUUUUUUAAUUUAUUUGUCAUCUAUAUCUUUUUUUCACAUCUGAUCCAUUACAAUUUUGAAUAUAUUCAAUAUUGGUUUAUUAUGCAAAAUAAACUAAUUAUAAGCCAAAUGCAUAAAUAUAUUCCUCCAUACUAAAAAAAGAUUUACACCUCAUAUUUUACAAAGAUUGUUUUACGCCUAAAAUUAUAAAUUUUAAUAAUAUUGUACAUAAUUAUACAUUAGUAAUAAUAGGUUUUUGGUACUUUUCGAUUUUGUAUACAGAAUAUUAAUCUGAAGUAUGAUUAUUACAAUUUUAGAAUAAUAAUUUUAAUAUUUUUCAACUAUUAAAUAAGUAUUCAAUUGAUCAAACUUUACAAGUUAGAAUGUCCAAUCAAAAAAUGCUGUAAAUUAAAGUGCUUAAUAGGUAUAAUUUUAUAAAUUAAAGUGUUCUAAAGAUAAAAUUAAAAUUUAAAAGUUUGAAAUUUUUUUUAUAUAAAGUUCAUUUAGCCUUAAUUAAAUAAUCAUACAUCAGUAAGAAUUGAAUUUGAGAUAUUGACUCAAUCACUUGGCUAACAGGCAUUUAGUUGAACUGUUUGUACCAACUGAUAUCGGAUGUUUAUAAUUGCUAGUUGGUGUUGAUAGUUAUUAAUUGAGAAUGUAUAAUUUUUUUAUAUUACUCUCAUAGACAAUAUAUGUUAUUUUUUUAAGGUAAAUAUAUUAUUUUUUUAUUUUAACAAAAUCGUACAUCUGUGCAUUGCUCAGAUUAUAGUAUAAUCUUUUAGUGAAAAUAUUAAAUACUUUAUUUAUUAAUAAUUUAUGAUAUAAUUACUCUCCUAAAAAAUAAUUUAUUUUGUCAUUCUAGCAUGGUAACCUUGCAUCUUUGCGGAUUUAAAUGAUAAUCUAGUUCUUUGCAUUGAAACCCAAAAUAAUCACGUGAAAGGAUAAAAAAAAAAAAAAAAAAAUUUUUUGAAAAGGUUGUUUGCUUGGGGAUUUCAUUUCCCUGUCACUGUAUUCUAUUUUUGCUUUUGGUUUUCAGUAUUUCAUACCCUUUUUUGGUUUGUAAAUUUGGUUUAUUGUUGUAGAUCAACAUUUUCUUUUUCUGGUUGAAAAUUGAUGAAAUCUAUGUGUUUCUCCAAUUAUUACAUGGUUAGCAAUAGCAACUUAGCAAACAGAGCAAUCCAUGUUAGUAAAUAAUUAGCUAGCUUUCUAAAUAUUUCAAGAAUAAAAUGAUAUAUAUUUCAAUAUUUAUUUUGCAUUCCCAAUUCUAAAGAUAAAACUAAAGUGAUGCAAACAUAUAUAGAAACAUAUGAUGCAAGAGAAACUUCUUACAUAGCUUAAACACACAAAGUCCGUUAUUCAAGUACAUCACAAAUCAUAUUCUAAUUUGAAAUGCAACAAACAUAAUGGUUCUCUCAUGAGGGAAAUGCAAUAGCUUGUCUUCAUUAAUUACUCUGGUAAACUAAAACGUCUGGCCCAUCAUUGGAAAAUGUCUUCUUUGCUUUGAGAGCUACAUCAUCAUGGUAAAUCGAACCGUCAUUUUUUGUCUCAAAAUAUGGCGUUUGUUCUUUAAGUGUAACAUCAUUGUGAUAUAUAGAUAGAUCAAGCCUCGGAUCAAACUCCUUUUUGAGACCUGCAUCAUUAUGGUGAUUUGUAAAAUCAUGUUUUGUCUCAAAAUAUAGCUUAUGUGCUUCAAGAUUGGCAUGGUUGUGGUUUUCAGUUGUGCGACAAUCGGCUUUCUCUUUUGUGGAGGUAGAAGCUUCAACGAGUGCUUGUAAUGCUUCUGGCAGUGGCUGAUCUUUCAUUUCCCUACUCCAAUAUUCACCCACAUCUUUUCUUGCAUUGACAGUGCUUGAGAACUGCAAAAUAAAAAUAAUAAAACUCACUCGUCAGUUUAUUUAAGAAAAAUAAAACUUAUAUCAUUAAUGGGUUUCAAUUAGCUAAUCUUCAUUGAUCCAUUAAUGUAUUUAAACACACAUACACAUUAAGAACAGACUUUUUUCUUUUUUUUUUUUUUUUUUUUUGAAAUUUCAUUACUAAUUAACAGACUAUUACUAACCAAGAUAAGUAAGAAGAUAGAGAGGAAAGCAAAAAGCAAUUUCAUCUUUUUUGCAGAGAAGAAAUUAGACAAUGUGUAGUGUUAUUUGAGUGGAUAUCCGUCGUCCCUGAUAUCGUCACUAUUUAUAGCCAAAAUCAAAGAAUGCAAAAAUAUAAAGAAAUUAUUAUGUAAGGUGCAAAUAAGGUGACCUCUCAUUUCAUAUUGUCCUUCUUGUCGUAAUACGACAAAUAAAUAUCAUAAUCUUGGGAGGUACCCAAAUCGUGUAUUAGGUACCCAAAUAACAUACGACGUAAUUACUAUAUGUAAUCUCUAGGUUUUAUUCAAAUAUACUAAUAAAACUUUAGUUUCUAAAAUUAUACUACGAAGUCUUUACAUUAUAAUUUCGUUACACUAUAGAGUCUAAUUAUUAGUUUUUUCGUUAAGUGACUGUAAAAUAUUAAAAGCACCCCUAAACAUAAUUAGUAUAUAAUCCUUACUAUUAGGUGAAAUACACUAAUAAAGACAUUAUUUUUCAUACCUUUACAUUAUUUAAUCCCUAUAUAUAGUAAUUGUGUUUAGGGUUAUUUUUAAUAUUCCACAACAAUUUAAUAAAAAAAAAACUAACCGCUGGACCUUAUAGUAUAAUAGAAUUAUAAUGCUGAGAUUAAAUAGUGUAAUUUUAAAAAUGAAAGUCUUUACUAAUGUAUUUGAUAUAAACCUAGGAACUAUAUAGUAAUUAACACAUAACAUAAUCUUAGGCUAAUUACUGUUUAGUCUUAUAUUAUAAUCAAAUAUAUAAAUUAGGAAUUUAGUUUUUUCAAAAUUCUAUUUUUUUUUCCUACCCUAAAACUUUUGCGAGUACAAGAUUAGUACAUUAUGAAUACUGGAAUAGAUUUGAGGUCAUUAAAAAGUACAAUUUUAUAAAUUAAAGUAUUCUAACAGGUAGAAGUGAACUUUAAAGGUUUGAAAUAUAUAUAUAUAUAUAUAUUUAAACAUCAGUAAAAAUUGAAUUUAAGAUAUUUUGAUUCCAAAACUCAACGCUUUAAUCACUUGGCUAAAAUACAUUUAGUUUAACUGUUUGUACUUGCUGAUAUCGGUUGUUUAUAAUUGCUAGUUCGUGGCUGAUAGUUAUUAAUUGAUAAUGUAUAGUUUUUUUUAUAUUACUCUCAUAUACAAUAUAUGUUAUUUUUUAAGGUAAAUAUAUUAUUUUUUUUAUUUUAACAAAAUCAUACACCUGUGCAUUGCUCAAAUUAUAGUAUAGUCUUUUAUUGAAAAUAUUAAAUACUUUAUUUAUUAAUAAUUUAUGAUAUAAUUACACUCCUAAAAAAUAAUUUAUUUUGUCAUUCUAGCAUGGUAACUUUGCAUCUUUGCGGAUUUAAAUGAUAAUCUAGUUCUUUGCAUUUAACCCCAAAAUAAUCACAUGAAAAGGAAAAAAAAAAAAAAAAUCUUUUGAAAAGGUUGUUUGCUUGUGGAUUUCAUUUCCCUCUGUAUUCUAUUUUUGCUUUUGGUUUUCAGUAUUUCAUACCCUUUUUUGGUUUGUAAAUUUGGUUUAUUGUUGUAGAUCAACAUUUUCUUUUUCUGGUUGAAAAUUGAUGAAAUCUAUGUGUUUCUCCAAUAUUACAUGGUUAGCAAUAGCAACUUAGCAUACAGAGCAAUCCAUGUUAGUAAAUAAUUAGCUAGCUUUCUAAAUAUUUCAAGAAUAAAAUCAUAUAUUUUCAAUAUUUAUUUUGCAUUCCCAAUUCUAAAGAUACAACUAAAGUGAUGCAAACAUAUAUAGAAACAUAUGAUGCAAGAGAAACUGCUUACAUAGCUUCAACACACGAAGUCCGUUAUUCAAGUACAUCACAAAUCAUAUUCUAAUUUGAAAUGCAACAAACAUAAUGGUUCUCUCAUGAGGGAAAUGCAAUAGCUUGUCUUUAUUAAUUACUCUGGUAAAUUAACAUGUCUGGCCUAUCAUUGGAAAAUGUCUUCUUUGCUUUGAGAGCUACAUCAUCAUGGUAAAUUGAAGCGUCAUUUUUUGUCUCAAAAUAUGGCGUUUGUUCUUUGAGUGUGACAUCAUUUUGAUAUAUAGACAGAUCAAGCCUCGGAUCAAACUCCUUUUUGAGACCUGCAUCAUUAUGGUGAUUUGUAAAAUCAUUUUUUGUCUCAAAAUAUAGCUUAUGUGCUUUAAGUGUGGCAUGGUUGUGGUUUUCAGUUGUGCGAAAAUCGGCUUUGUCUUUUGUGGAGGUAGAAGCUUCAACAAGUGCUUGUAAUGCUUCUGGCGGUGGCUGAUCUUUCAUUUCCCUACUCCAAUAUUCACCCACAUCUUUUCUUGCAUUGACAGUGCUUGAG
Molecule: long non-coding RNA, 9685 nt
Filed under: Jatropha curcas
Lineage: Eukaryota; Viridiplantae; Streptophyta; Magnoliopsida; Malpighiales; Euphorbiaceae
Description: long non-coding RNA (JCUR_LNC000436)
Source: RNAcentral